UACGGAGGGUGCAAACGUUGCUCGGAAUCAUUGGGCGUAAAGCGCACGUAGGCGGCCCGUUAAGUCGGAUGUGAAAGCCCAGGGCUCAACCCUGGAAGUGCAUUCGAAACUGGCGGGCUUGAAUAUGGAAGAGGGUCGCGGAAUUCCCGGUGUAGAGGUGAAAUUCGUAGAUAUCGGGAGGAACACCAGUGGCGAAGGCGGCGACCUGGGCCAAUAUUGACGCUGAGGUGCGAAAGCGUGGGGAGCAAAC
Molecule: ribosomal RNA, 250 nt
Filed under: uncultured Haliangium sp.
Lineage: Bacteria; Pseudomonadati; Myxococcota; Haliangiales; Kofleriaceae
Description: partial 16S ribosomal RNA
Rfam family: Bacterial small subunit ribosomal RNA
Source: RNAcentral